Molecule: ribosomal RNA, 253 nt
Filed under: uncultured bacterium
Lineage: Bacteria
Description: partial 16S ribosomal RNA
Rfam family: Bacterial small subunit ribosomal RNA
Source: RNAcentral
UACGGAGGGGGCUAGCGUUGUUCGGAAUUACUGGGCGUAAAGCGCGCGUAGGCGGACCUGCAAGUCGGGGGUGAAAUCCCUGGGCUUAACCUGGGAACUGCAGUCGAUACUGGUGGACUAGAAUGCGGUAGAGGGUGGCGGAACUCCGGGUGUAGCGGUGAAAUGCGUAGAUAUCCGGAAGAACACCGAUGGCGAAGGCAACCACCUGGGCCUGCAUUGACGCUGAGGUACGAAAGCGUGGGGAGCAAACAGG